UGUUGACAAGAAAGGAGGAGCAACCUGGGAAUCCUUGGAGAAUGGUCUCAUAAAUAUUGGACAAAAACCAGUUGCUGAAAAACUAAGAGAAAGAAGGAAAAACAGAAAUAAAUAAAGACUCAUACUAUAUAAAGGAUGAUGUUAUUGAUUAUGAUAACAGCUUGUUGUUUUUGGUAUCAAAAGGAAUUCUUAGUAAUGCA
This is a long non-coding RNA of Amphimedon queenslandica, 200 nucleotides long. RefSeq lists it as uncharacterized. NCBI's taxonomy places the organism in Eukaryota, Metazoa, Porifera, Demospongiae, Haplosclerida, Niphatidae. The record is from RefSeq and is a predicted model, not a curated record. The transcript is spliced from 2 exons.